GGGUGGACAGCGGCGAACACCGACGAGCUUCAAGCUUUGUUUUUAUUGGAUUUUACGCUUUUCGAAAACCGCAGAUUUCCGUUAUUCCCAUCCUUCACACGGGUGGGGUCGCAAGUUCAAUCCUUGCCGCGCCCACCA
RNAcentral lists this transfer RNA (138 nucleotides) under Qipengyuania citrea. RNAcentral describes it as "tRNA-Val". Lineage: Bacteria; Pseudomonadati; Pseudomonadota; Alphaproteobacteria; Sphingomonadales; Erythrobacteraceae. RNAcentral also lists the same sequence under 1 other name. The record is from RNAcentral.